UGUGCGCGAGUCUCUGGGUUAUCAAACCCAAAGGCGUAAUCAAGGUGAAGGGGAAUACCUCUUCCCCCAGGGAGGACGUGGGCUUGCUCUUCCCGGGCGGCCCUCCGCACUCCCGGGGCGUCUCGCGCUCAUUGCGAGUGGAGGCGCACCUAGAGCGUUCACGUUGGGACCCGAAAGAUGGUGAACUAUGCCUGGCCAGGACGAAGCCAGGGGAAACCCUGGUGGAGGUCCGUAGCGGUUCUGACGUGCAAAUCGAUCGUCGGAGCCGGGUAUAGGGGCGAAAGACUAAUCGAACCAUCUAGUAGCUGGUUCCCUCCGAAGUUUCCCUCAGGAUAGCUGUCGCCCAAGUGAGACGAGUCUCAACCGGUAAAGCGAAUGAUUAGAGGCCUUGGGGUCGAAACGACCUCAACCUAUUCUCAAACUUUAAAUGGAUGAGAACCCCGACUUGCUUGACUUGUUGAGUGAAGUCGGGGCUCGGAUCCGGGCGACAAGUGGGCCAAUUUUGGUAAGCAGAACUGGCGCUGUGGGAUGAACCAAACGCGGAGUUAAGGCGCCCAAAUCGACGCUCAUCAGACACCAUGAAAGGCGUUGCGUUGGACUCCUUGGUCCGUGUUACAAGACGGGUCGGGUGAGAGCUCGAAACUGCGGCGCCGCUGACGGGUGAUGCGAACUCGGCCCCAGAACCACCGCCCGACAGCCGGAGGCGAGGCGGCGCGGGCACCCUGGGUGCCCGCGACCGCACUCGGCGACCGACUCGGCGGGGGUCGGAGGCGCUCCUAGGAGCGGUUCGACCACCGUCGUCUGCUACCGUCCGUAACGCCGCCUCGGCCCGACCAACUCGGGAGCCGGUGGCCUUGCGACCGCCGGCUAACCCGAGACUUGGUGUCGGGCCGUUAGGCCUUGCUUCCGGAAGGGUCGCGACGUCCUACUGAGAGAGAAGGGGGUCACCACGCCCCCCCCCCCUCCCGAGCGAGCUUGCGAAAACGGGAGCGCGAGCGGCCGGCCGGCCGGUCGAUCGACCCAGGUUGAAAGGGUGGCGCUCUAGGUCGGGCGAAGGGGAAUCCGGUCUCUAUUCCGGAACCUGGCCAGCGGUACCGUUCCAAGUCGGGCCCUCGGACGAGGACUCGUCGGGGUAACCAAAAAGGACCCGGAGACGCCGUCGGGAGAUCCAGGGAGAGUUGUCUCUUCUCUAUAAGCGUUCGAGUUCCCUGAAAACCUCUCGCAGAGAGAUAGGGUUUGGAGCGCGAAGAGCACCGCAGUUACGGCGGUGUCUGGAUCUUCCCCUCGGACCUUGAAAAUCCGGGUGAGGGCUACGAGGAACACCGCGCCAGACCGUACCCAUAUCCGCAGCAGGUCUCCAAGGUGAACAGCCUCUAGUCGUUAGUAUAAUGUGAGUAAGGGAAGUCGGCAAACUGGAUCCGUAACCUUGGGAUAAGGAUUGGCUCUGAGGAACGUGGUGAGCCGGGCUUGGUUGGGAAGUGGAGCGGUGUCAACGAUCCGGGCCUGGGCGUUGGAGAGUAUUGCACGAUCCUCCGCUCGGUCCCGCGACUUGGCCACCCACGGACCUUCCUUGCUGCGAGCUGCAGGCCGCCUAGCCACCGGUCUCGACCGGAGGGCGGGCCUGCUGUCUCUUCGGCCACCGAUUAACGUUCGGCUCAGAACUGGCACUGACCAGGGGAAUCCGACUGUCUAAUUAAAACAAAGCAUUGCGAUGGCCCCAGCGGGUGUUGACGCAAUGUGAUUUCUGCCCAGUGCUCUGAAUGUCAACGUGAAGAAAUUCAAUAAAGCGCGGGUAAACGGCGGGAGUAACUAUGACUCUCUUAAGGUAGCCAAAUGCCUCGUCAUCUAAUUAGUGACGCGCAUGAAUGGAUUAACGAGAUUCCCGCUGUCCCUACUUACUAUCUAGCGAAACCACAGCCAAGGGAACGGGCUUGGAAAAAUCAGUGGGGAAAGAAGACCCUGUUGAGCUUGACUCUAGUCUGGAACUGUAAGGAGACAUGAGAGGUGUAGCAUAAGUGGGAGGUGUUGCUUGUCUUCACCGACAGUGAAAUACCACUACUUUCAUAGUUUCCUUACUUACUCGGUGAGGCGGAAGGCGUCCGUCGCUGGCCUCCCGGCCACGGCGAGACGGUCUUCUUGCGCCAAGCGCGGGGGUUGGCGCCGGCCUCCUGUAGCGUCGGUUUCCCGGCUGGUCGCGAGGGCCUUGCAGGUUCUAACGGCCCGAGUGGAAGUCCGGCGCGAUCCAGGAGCGUGUGGUUAGCCAACGUACUCCUCGGCGUGAUCCGAUCCGAGGACACUUCCAGGUCGAUAGUUUGACUGGGGCGGUACAUCUGUCAAACAAUAACGCAGGUGUCCUAAGGCCAGCUCAGCGAGGACAGAAACCUCGCGUAGAGCAAAAGGGCAAAAGCUGGCUUGAUCCCGAUGCUCAGUACGCAUAGGGACUGCGAAAGCACGGCCUAUCGA
Molecule: ribosomal RNA, 2463 nt
Filed under: Rhagovelia sp. 1 AC-2018
Lineage: Eukaryota; Metazoa; Arthropoda; Insecta; Hemiptera; Veliidae
Description: partial 28S ribosomal RNA
Rfam family: Eukaryotic large subunit ribosomal RNA
Source: RNAcentral